Molecule: ribosomal RNA, 649 nt
Filed under: Nocardioides marinus
Lineage: Bacteria; Bacillati; Actinomycetota; Actinomycetes; Propionibacteriales; Nocardioidaceae
Description: bacterial SSU rRNA
Rfam family: Bacterial small subunit ribosomal RNA
Source: RNAcentral
AGCGGCGAACGGGUGAGUAACACGUGAGUAAUCUGCCUCUGGCUUCGGGAUAGCCACCGGAAACGGUGAUUAAUACCGGAUAUGACAUCUUCACGCAUGUGAUGGGUGUGGAAAGUUUUUUCGGCCAGGGAUGUGCUCGCGGCCUAUCAGCUUGUUGGUGGGGUAAUGGCCUACCAAGGCUUCGACGGGUAGCCGGCCUGAGAGGGUGACCGGCCACACUGGGACUGAGACACGGCCCAGACUCCUACGGGAGGCAGCAGUGGGGAAUAUUGGACAAUGGGCGGAAGCCUGAUCCAGCAACGCCGCGUGAGGGAUGACGGCCUUCGGGUUGUAAACCUCUUUCAGCACAGACGAAGCGCAAGUGACGGUAUGUGCAGAAGAAGGACCGGCCAACUACGUGCCAGCAGCCGCGGUAAUACGUAGGGUCCGAGCGUUGUCCGGAAUUAUUGGGCGUAAAGGGCUCGUAGGCGGUUUGUCGCGUCGGGAGUGAAAACACCGGGCUUAACUCGGUGCUUGCUUUCGAUACGGGCAGACUAGAGGCAUUCAGGGGAGAACGGAAUUCCUGGUGUAGCGGUGAAAUGCGCAGAUAUCAGGAGGAACACCGGUGGCGAAGGCGGUUCUCUGGGAAUGUCCUGACGCUGAGGAGCGA